GCCUUUUGUUGCCUUUCUGAUGGUUUUUGGUUUAGCUUACCUACUGUUUCUUUUAAUUGGCGUUACUGGAACUUUGGUGGAUUAUACAAAAGCUAGAGUUUACUGCUUUGCGUGAAAGUAUAGUGGCUGAUGCUGCCUCUGGGAUAUUCUAGUCUACUUUUUCUUCUUGCUACUUCCAUAUAAGCGCAUUCUUUUAUAUUGUUA
This 204-nucleotide unclassified non-coding RNA is filed under the name Hevea brasiliensis (rubber tree). The record is from RNAcentral. Lineage: Eukaryota; Viridiplantae; Streptophyta; Magnoliopsida; Malpighiales; Euphorbiaceae.